Molecule: ribosomal RNA, 301 nt
Filed under: uncultured bacterium
Lineage: Bacteria
Description: partial 16S ribosomal RNA
Rfam family: Bacterial small subunit ribosomal RNA
Source: RNAcentral
CAGCAGCCGCGGGAAUACGUAGGGUGCAAGCGUUAAUCGGAAUUACUGGGCGUAAAGCGUGCGCAGGCGGUUAUAUAAGACAGAUGUGAAAUCCCCGGGCUCAACCUGGGAACUGCAUUUGUGACUGUAUAGCUAGAGUACGGCAGAGGGGGAUGGAAUUCCGCGUGUAGCAGUGAAAUGCGUAGAUAUGCGGAGGAACAUCGAUGGCGAAGGCAAUCCCCUGGGCCUGUACUGACGCUCAUGCACGAAAGCGUGGGGAGCAAACAGGAUUAGAUACCCCAGUAGUCCCUGUCUCUUAUAC